AUACGGAGGGUGCAAGCGUUAUCCGGAUUUAUUGGGUUUAAAGGGUUCGUAGGCGGAUCAAUAAGUCGGUGGUGAAAGCCUGUGGCUCAACCAUAGAACUGCCAUUGAUACUGUUGAUCUUGAGUACAGUUGAAGUGGGCGGAAUGCGUCAUGUAGCGGUGAAAUGCAUAGAUAUGACGCAGAACACCGAUUGCGAAGGCAGCUCACUAAAUUGUAACUGACGCUGAGGAACGAAAGCGUGGGGAGCGAACAGGAUUAGAAACCCUUGUAGUCC
This 274-nucleotide ribosomal RNA is filed under the name uncultured bacterium. Its description in RNAcentral is "partial 16S ribosomal RNA". It matches the Rfam family "Bacterial small subunit ribosomal RNA", at positions 523 to 796 of the family's 1533-position model. The record is from RNAcentral.